Long non-coding RNA from Oncorhynchus tshawytscha (Chinook salmon), 655 nucleotides. The record is from Ensembl. Lineage: Eukaryota; Metazoa; Chordata; Actinopteri; Salmoniformes; Salmonidae.
GUUUCCAAGUGUGUAGAAGAGAGCGCAUUCUCCAUCUUAAAUUUGAUCGUUUAUUUACGUAUUAGGUUUGAUUAAAAACGUUGUUUGACUUGUUUGGAAAAGUUUAUUAGUAACGUUUUGGGAUUCAUUUUGUAUGCAUUUUGAUGGAGGGAAACUGGGUGGAUUUUUGACUGAAGCGCGAUAGCUAAACUGAGUUUUUAUGGAUAUAAAGAAGGAUAUUAUCAAACAAAAGGACCAUUUGUGAUGUAUCUGGGACCUUUUGGAGUGCCAACAGAAGAAGAUCAUCAAAGGGACUAAAUUGGGCACCUGAUUGCAUUUCACUCCGUUACAUUGGCUUGGAAGAAGAAAACAGUCCUGCCUGAUUCUUCGCAGGGAAGUCAUAGCGGACACCUACGAAGAAGGACUGUGUGAUGAUGGCAUCCCAGAGAGCUAGCUGAUCAAGGGGUCAAAAAUGUAGAUAUUGCCAGAUGGCCUGUUCCUCGGACAGUGAACAGGCCAAGGAAGCUUUAUUGCUGGCAAAAGUGUCCAUAACCAGAGGUAUGUUUUGAUGUGAGAGAGGAAGCCAGUCCCAUCAUCGCCACCUCACCCGCUCUUAAGAUAACCUUUGGGCCAACUGGGGGCCUAAGGCUGGUUUGGAGACACUGCAAUUGUGAUG